UACGUAGGGUGCGAGCGUUGUCCGGAUUCACUGGGUUUAAAGGGUGCGUAGGUGGGUUGGUAAGUCAGUGGUGAAAUCCCCGAGCUUAACUUGGGAACUGCCAUUGAUACUAUCAGUCUUGAAUACCGUGGAGGUCAGCGGAAUAUGUCAUGUAGCGGUGAAAUGCUUAGAUAUGACAUAGAACACCAAUUGCGAAGGCAGCUGGCUACACGAAUAUUGACACUCAGGCACGAAAGCGUGGGGAUCAAACAGG
This 253-nucleotide ribosomal RNA is filed under the name uncultured bacterium. Its description in RNAcentral is "partial 16S ribosomal RNA". It matches the Rfam family "Bacterial small subunit ribosomal RNA", at positions 524 to 776 of the family's 1533-position model. The record is from RNAcentral.